Molecule: ribosomal RNA, 476 nt
Filed under: uncultured bacterium
Lineage: Bacteria
Description: partial 16S ribosomal RNA
Rfam family: Bacterial small subunit ribosomal RNA
Source: RNAcentral
AUGAACGCUGGCGGCGUGCCUAACACAUGCAAGUCGAACGAAGCACCUUACCUGAUUCUUCGGAUGAAAGUUUGGUGACUGAGUGGCGGACGGGUGAGUAACGCGUGGGUAACCUGCCCUGUACAGGGGGAUAACAGCUGGAAACGGCUGCUAAUACCGCAUAAGCGCACGAGGAGACAUCUCCUUGUGUGAAAAACUCCGGUGGUACAGGAUGGGCCCGCGUCUGAUUAGCUGGUUGGCAGGGUAACGGCCUACCAAGGCAACGAUCAGUAGCCGGUCUGAGAGGAUGAACGGCCACAUUGGAACUGAGACACGGUCCAAACUCCUACGGGAAGCAGCAGUGGGGAAUAUUGCACAAUGGGGGAAACCCUGAUGCAGCAACGCCGCGUGAGUGAAGAAGUAUUUCGGUAUGUAAAGCUCUAUCAGCAGGGAAGAUAAUGACGGUACCUGACUAAGAAGCGCCGGCUAAAUACGUG